GAGACCUGGAACUGGAGCAUGUUGUAGUGCCUCUCCCUCUGCACGCUGCCCGGGAAGUUCCCCUGGAAGAACUGUUCGACGGGAUUCAGGAUGCUGUGUACUAUGCACCACCCUCCCAUGGGCCCCUCAAGAUUAAGCAUCUUGAUAUAGACAAGACAUUUGGGAAGUAGCCAGAGAAGAUGCAUCCUUCCCAAUGGAAGUAAACUUCUCCGUCUGUAUUUACUGGCAGAGAUACGGUCAAUGAAAGAGGAACCAAUCAGAUCAACACCCAGAGCAAGAGGCUCCCAGAGAGAAGAGAUGAAUCUGAUUUACAGAGCCCCAGCCAGAGAACCUAGGAGGGGAGUAGGAAAGAGAAUUUUUCCUCCACUACAGUGGCUGCUGAGCACUUGAAACACGUCAAGUCUGAAUUGACAUGUGCUGUAAGUGUAAAGCACACCCUGGAUUUUGAAGAACAACAACAAAAAAAGGGAUGUAAAAUAUCUCAU
Non-coding RNA from Equus caballus (horse), 485 nucleotides. The record is from RefSeq and is a predicted model, not a curated record. NCBI's taxonomy places the organism in Eukaryota, Metazoa, Chordata, Mammalia, Perissodactyla, Equidae.